AUGUUGGCUUCAGCAGCACAAAUACUAGAAUCGGAACACGAGAGAGAAGAUGAACAGGCUCCCAGGGCAAGGGUGAUUCAUCCUGCAGUUUCAUGAAGUGAUCCAUAUUUUU
RNAcentral lists this small nuclear RNA (112 nucleotides) under Chinchilla lanigera (long-tailed chinchilla). The record is from RNAcentral. Lineage: Eukaryota; Metazoa; Chordata; Mammalia; Rodentia; Chinchillidae.